This 1110-nucleotide ribosomal RNA is filed under the name uncultured marine group I thaumarchaeote. RNAcentral describes it as "bacterial SSU rRNA". It matches the Rfam family "Archaeal small subunit ribosomal RNA", at positions 300 to 1411 of the family's 1478-position model. The record is from RNAcentral. Lineage: Archaea; Thermoproteati; Nitrososphaerota.
GUANUGAGACACGGACCCAGGCCCUAUGGGGCGCAGCAGGCGAGAAAACUUUGCAAUGUGCGAAAGCACGACAAGGUUAGUCCGAGUGAUUUCUGCUAAAGAGAUCUUUUGCAAGUUCUAAAACCACUAGUGAAUAAGGGGUGGGCAAGUUCUGGUGUCAGCCGCCGCGGUAAAACCAGCACCUCAAGUGGUCAGGAGGANUAUUGGGCCUAAAGCAUCCGUAGCCGGCUCUGUUAGUUUUCGGUUAAAUCCAUGCGCUCAACGCAUGGGCUGUCGGAAAUACUGCAUAGCUAGGGAGUGGGAGAGGUAGACGGUACUCGGUAGGAAGGGGUAAAAUCCUUUGAUCUAUCGAUGACCACCUGUGGCGAAGGCGGUCUACCAGAACACGUUCGACGGUGAGGGAUGAAAGCUGGGGGAGCAAACCGGAUUAGAUACCCGGGUAGUCCCAGCUGUAAACGAUGCAGACUCGAUGAUGCAUUGGCAUAUAGCCAGUGCAGUGUCGCAGGGAAGCCGUUAAGUCUGCCGCCUGGGAAGUACGUACGCAAGUAUGAAACUUAAAGGAAUUGGCGGGGGAGCACCACAAGGGGUGAAGCCUGCGGUUCAAUUGGAGUCAACGCCAGAAAUCUUACCCGGAGAGACAGCAGAAUGAAGGUCAAGCUGAAGACUUUACCAGACAAGCUGAGAGGUGGUGCAUGGCCGUCGCCAGCUCGUGCCGUGAGAUGUCCUGUUAAGUCAGGUAACGAGCGAGAUCCCUGCCAUUAGUUGCUAUCAUUAUUCUCAGGAAUAGUGGGGCGAACUAGUGGGACUGCCGUUGUUAAAACGGAGGAAGGAAGGGGCUACGGCAGGUCAGUAUGCCCCGAAACUCUGGGGCCACACGCGGGCUGCAAUGGUAGUGACAAUGAGUUCCAAACUCGAAAGGGUGUGGCAAUCUCUAAACACUACCACAGUUAUGACUGAGGGCUGCAACUCGCCCUCACGAAUAUGGAAUCCCUAGUAACCGCGUGUCAUUNCCGCGCGGUGAAUACGUCCCUGCUCCUUGCACACACCGCCCGUCGUUUCAUCGAAGUUUGCUUUUAGCGAGGUGAUGUUUAAUUGGCAUUAUCGAACUUG